Molecule: ribosomal RNA, 491 nt
Filed under: uncultured bacterium
Lineage: Bacteria
Description: bacterial SSU rRNA
Rfam family: Bacterial small subunit ribosomal RNA
Source: RNAcentral
GAUGAACGCUAGCGGGAGGCUUAACACAUGCAAGUCGAGGGGCAGCAUAGGGGUAGCAAUACUACUGAUGGCGACCGGCAAACGGGUGAGUAACGCGUAUGCAACCUACCCUGUACAGGGGGAUAACCCGGAGAAAUUCGGACUAAUAUCCCGUAAUAAUAUCCGGAGGCAUCUUUGGAUAUUUAAAGUUCCGACGGUACGGGAUGGGCAUGCGUAACAUUAACUGGUUGGUAAGGUAACGGCUUACCAAGGCUAUGAUGUUUAGGGGUCCUGAGAGGGUGGUCCCCCACACUGGUACUGAGACACGGACCAGACUCCUACGGGAGGCAGCAGUAAGGAAUAUUGGGCAAUGGACGCAAGUCUGACCCAGCCCAUGCCGCGUGCAGGAAUGACGGCCCUAUGGGUUGUAAACUGCUUUUGUAUGGGAAAAAACCCCCGGUCGUGUACCGGGGCUGAUGUUACCAUAAGAAUAAGCAUCGGCUAACUCCGUG